Spea bombifrons (plains spadefoot toad) is the source of this 493-nucleotide long non-coding RNA. RefSeq lists it as uncharacterized. The transcript has 2 exons. The record is from RefSeq and is a predicted model, not a curated record. Lineage: Eukaryota; Metazoa; Chordata; Amphibia; Anura; Pelobatidae.
ACUCUACCGCACGAAACAAGCUCCCCGCUGGAUGUAUGAAAGAAAUCAUGCUGUUUGCCUUCCAUUAAUACAUCUACUGAGCUGCUCGUUCAAAGACUUAACCGUUGCCUGCCAAUGCAGCCUGUAAUGCCUUUCAAUGAUGGCUAAUCUAUACAAAAUAUGGAUUACAGUACCGCAAUACGCCAAUUAAACCUUAAGAAAAAGAUUGAUGUUUGAAAACAGUACUACAAGGAUCCCAAUCUCUAUUGAUGCCACAUUAGUUUUGUUACAAAAGAGAAGUGCUCGGAACAGAACCUUGUCUCCCAGCAUCCUAACAGACAGUUUCCUAGGACACAAACUAUGAGGCAAGAACGGGUACCACAAGGACACAUGCAUGCUACGGCACAGGGAUACAAAAACAUGGGAAGGCAAAGCCUGAAGCUUUAAAGCCUUGGUGUCCAUUUCAAGGCAACAAAGUGGUACAUACAAUAGAAAUAAAACAGGUUUCCAUACA